CCUACGGGUGGCUGCAGUGAGGAAUAUUGGUCAAUGGACGAAAGUCUGAACCAGCCAAGUAGCGUGAAGGAUGACUGCCCUAUGGGUUGUAAACUUCUUUUAUAUGGGAAUAAAAUGUUCCACGUGUGGGAUUUUGUAUGUACCAUAUGAAUAAGGAUCGGCUAACUCCGUGCCAGCAGCCGCGGUAAUACGGAGGAUCCGAGCGUUAUCCGGAUUUAUUGGGUUUAAAGGGAGCGUAGGUGGGUUGUUAAGUUAGUUGUUAAAGUUUGGGGCUUAACCGUAGAAUUGCAGUUGAUACUGGCAGUCUUGAGUACAGUAGAGGUAGGCGGAAUUCGUUGUGUAGCGGUGAAAUGCUUAGAUAUAACGAAGAACUCCGAUUGCGAAGGCAGCUCACUGGACUGCAACUGACGCUGAGGCACGAAAGUGUGGGUAGCAAACAGGAUUAGAUACCCCUGUAGUC
RNAcentral lists this ribosomal RNA (460 nucleotides) under uncultured bacterium. Its description in RNAcentral is "partial 16S ribosomal RNA". It matches the Rfam family "Bacterial small subunit ribosomal RNA", at positions 338 to 795 of the family's 1533-position model. The record is from RNAcentral.